Molecule: long non-coding RNA, 2889 nt
Organism: Anguilla rostrata (American eel)
Lineage: Eukaryota; Metazoa; Chordata; Actinopteri; Anguilliformes; Anguillidae
Exons: 3
Source: RefSeq, a predicted model, not a curated record
CUACGAGUACAUGUGUAAGGUUACACACCUGUAGGAAUUCCUUCUGGUCAUUAAAAGGAAAUUCCUUGCUUAAACAUUAAGUGCAUCUGAACAAUUUUUCACAUAUAUGAAGUAUCAGGUGUAAAUUUAAGUUGGAAUUUUUUUUGGGAAAACACAUUGCAUUUCUAGGACUUUUAACCUGAAUUCUCUGGUGGCGAUUUAAAUCACGUGGUCAAAAAACACUUCUCACAAUGAAUGAAUUUCUAUGGCUUCUCAGCUGUAUGAAUUUUCAGGAGUAUAGAAAGCAAGAAAACCCCUCACAGAGUGUGCCCAAAGGUUUUCACCUUUAUUAUUCCUUGGGCAUUUAGAUCUAAAACACUUGUCGCUUGUCAGCGUACAUUAUAUGCCUCUUCUUGUCCAAGUUCUAUGAACUUGAUUUGGAAAACACUUGCCUCAUUGAAUGCAUUUGUAUGGCAUUUUAUGUGUAUGAAACCUCAGGUGUUCAUUUAAAGCAGACCAAAAGUAUUUAAAGUAUUUGUACUAAAGCACUUCCCACACUCUGUAUACUUGUGUGGCUUUUCACCUGUAUUAAUUCUCUGGUGGCCGUAUUAAUAAGACCUUUUGGAAAAGCAUGUUCCAUACUAUGUAAACCAAUGGGACUUUUCACCUAUAUGAAUGCUCUGGUGGACAUUUAAAUGAGAUAUUGUGGAAAAGUACUUCCCACACUGAGGAUAUUUGUCGGGCUCUUAACUUGUAUGAAUUCUCAGGUGUAGAUAUGAAGACGACUUUCCACAUUGUAGAAAUUUGCUCGAAAUUAUGAGAGUCAAUGAUCACACUUACUUAGAACAAACCGCUGAUUUAUUGAGAACACAAAAACCGUGUGUGAGCCAAGCUGACAUUCAGUGAGGCUGCAUGCAUGUCUUGAACUACACGGGACCGAGAACGUUGAUUGGCCUAGCCAUAAACGCACAUACAGGUACGGUGGCUCAUAGAGAACAAAGAGGACAAUCAUUCAGCCAAAUGAUUUACAUCCCUUUUCUUUAGCUCACACUUUAUACAUGAAACAAAUGAUUUACUUAAACCACAUUAUACACAUGAAAGUAUAUGGCAGCCCAUAGAUUGUUUUUUUUUUACUGCAUAUAUUUUGGGUUUGGACUGCAGGUGCGGCCUGCUGUGUAUGGUGCAUUGCUGUUCUCAGUGGGGAAGUGUGCUGUGGGCGUUGGCUGGAGAGGGGACGCGUGUUGUGAUUGCAUGGCGUUUGGCUCUGGUGUUUGUGGUGUGGGGGGAACACUGUCCAUUGUGGGGCUGGUGUUCUAGGAGUCUGGGUCCUCUGCGUGGAGCUGUGGUGGCAGCGGCUCUGCAACAGGAAGAAUGUGGCAGGUGAGUGUUUUGAUUGGUUGGUGGGAUGACUCAAUAUAUUCUCCUCAUGAAUACAUUUAAUUGCAUUCAUUAUUAUAUGCUGUACUUAGUUGUUUAUGUUAAACAGCCAGUAGUGGUGUGGAGGAGAAAUCUCCCUUGUCCUGAAUUAUUUCAUUACAUAAAACAGUUCUUGCAGUUGUUGUCCAGUCUUAGACAUGGAAAUGACUUUUAAAGUUGUUGCUCCAAUAAUUAGUGUAACCAGUAUAACCACCCAAUAUAGCCAUUAUGAGCACUAUAACCAGUGUGCCCAGUUUAACCAGCACUGCUGCUGCUUCUCUCUGUCUGUUUAAGGGGAGCUGGUGGAAGGAGAUGCAACAGAGCACUAUGAUGAUGUCAUCACCAUGCAGCCGAGCCCAGAUGCUUUUCCAGUGUAUCAUGUGACAGACACAAAGGAGAAUUAUGAUGAUGCCAUGACUCUGGACUGGAUUCAAGUGGGGGAGAGUGUUCUGGAUGAAAGCCCUCCAGCUCCCAGGGGGAUGGACUAUGAUGAUGUGGGGGAGUAGCCUCCUGAAAGAGGAGGAGCACUGUGAGAUUGACAGUUCUAACUUUGGAAGUGUUCACCCACAAGUUUGGGUAGAAGAACUUACAUGGACUCCUUUAUCCUACACAUCUCAAGCAAAAUGUUUUAAUGUGAUAAAACCAUAUCCCACUAGAACAACUAUUCAUGAAUUAAUAAUUCACCUGAAAUGAUUUACUGUGGACUCCUUAGCUCAUUCAUAAAUUAGCUCAUUGGAAAUGCUGGUACUUGUAUACAUUGAGAACAAUAGCUUGCAUUCACUGACACAAUGAGACAGUUACUUUUUCUGACCAAGAUGAUGAUGUACAGCUCAAACUACAUGGAGUCAGUACUGGCCACUUCAAUAUGAAAUGAAUGUAUCAAAAUUGUUGGAAUGUAAAAAUGAAAACUGAGCUUUAGCCUUUUGCUUUAGAUUUGUUUGUAUUUCCAUUAAAUCUUUUCAGUUUUGGCUGCUGUGUUCAUCAUGUGCAGGUCAGAGCUGUACAUGUUGGCUCUCUGAUUGACACGUGGAAGGGUGGCCAGACAGCACUUAUCCAGCAUCCCGACAUGCUCCUUUGCAAGAUCACAUUGUUCAAGAUGCUUUUAUUGCACCUAGCUGAUGAGAUUGUUCAUCAUACCAUUUGAGCAGAAUAUGAACAAGGCAGUUAGUCUGCACUGGCUGCUUUGUUACUAUUCAAAACGUUUUCACUACUACUAAUUUCAUAUUGCUUUCAUUACUACUCAAACUUGUUUAAAAUGUUUUAACAAAAAAAUAUUUUUUGACAACCUUUUUAUAUAUGUAGUUUUUAGAUAUUUGAAUUCUAUAUCUUGGAGAAUUAUGCUGCUUUUGAUAGACAAGAUUUUAUAAAAAUUAAAUAUGAUAUUUAGCUAAAAUGCUCACAAUGUAUUUCUUAAGCCUUCUUAAGCAAUACCAGUAUUUUUAACAGCUGUAUGUCAAUAAGACAUUUUUAAAUUAAGCUUAAAGGCUGAUUAAA